Molecule: ribosomal RNA, 1419 nt
Filed under: Triticum aestivum (bread wheat)
Lineage: Eukaryota; Viridiplantae; Streptophyta; Magnoliopsida; Poales; Poaceae
Description: partial small subunit ribosomal RNA
Source: RNAcentral
AUGUUUGAUCUUGAGAUUGCAACAUCGAGAGACAUGAAGGCUGUCGAAGAGAUUGCCAAGUUGGCAGGAAAAUGCUUGAGGAUGGAACACGACAAACGCCCUCAGAUGUUAGAAGUUGCAGAACGUCUUCGCAAACUUAGGAAGGCUCCAGAUCAGGUACAAGAAAGAUUACCACUGUUUUCUUGGGUAAGGAAAAAUAAGCAAGCUCCAGCCAAACCACCAACGCUGGAAAGCAGUAGCGGUGGCCGAAACAUGACAACUGUACCUCCAGCUGAAACAACGCCUUCACAAGAAACCUAUGGCAGUAACCCAAAAACGGGAAUUUGGGACCCAACUAAAAUGGCUGCCGAAACAAGCAGUAGCAGUACCCUAAACGUGGGAGUUGUAGCUCCAGCUGAAACGACACCAUCACAAGAAAGCAAUGGCAGUGCACCCCAAACGGGAACCGUUGCUCCAUCCAAAGCGGAACUAUCACAGGAAAGCAGUAGCAGUACCCGAUACAUGGGAACUUUUAUCGGUAGGCCGACAGCGACAAACCAGUAUUUCGAGCUGGAAGACCUGCUUCGGGGAUCAGCUGAAGUUAUGGGCAUGGGUACAGUCGGGACAACAUACAGCACGUCACUUGAGAGUGGAUAUGAGCUGGUGACCAAGAGGUUGAAGGAUGUGGACUUGCCGAAGGCGGACUUUGAGCAGCAAGUCAAGCUGAUUAGCGCCAUCCAGAACAAACACAUUGCUCCACUGCGGUGGUAUUACUAUAGCGAGGAUGAGAAGUUGCUAGUGUACAAUAGGGUCCGCAUGGGUAGCCUUGCAAAAAUGCUCCACGGUUACCGAAUCCCUGGCACAGCUCCCCUGGACUGGGGGCAGCGGUCAGCCAUCUCACUAGCUGCUGCCCGUGGUGUGGCGGCUAUCCACUUGGCUGGACCAUCGAGCUGCCAUGGCAACAUCAAGUCUUCCAACAUCCUGCUCACCGGCACCCACGAUGCAUGUGUGUCGGAGCACGGCCUGAUGCCACUUGGCGUGUAUUCCAAUGCCUCCGGCUACCGUGCGCCUGAGGUCACCGACAAUAGGUCGGUCUCCCAGAAAGCUGACGUGUACAGCUUCGGAAUCCUAAUGCUGGAGGUUCUCACUCGCAAGGAUCCAGCAAAGAGCACACAAAAUGAGGAGGGAUUAGAUUUGGCACAAUGGGCAUGGUCUGUUGUACGCAAGGAGUGGACGAUGGAGGUCUUCGACAUGGAGCUCCAGCCCUUAGGACAGGAGCAGAAGGCCGGGGAAGAGGAGAGCAUGGUGCAACUUCUGCAGCUCGCCAUAAACUGUUGUAGUCAAUUUGCUGACUCGAGGCCUACGAUGUCCGAUGUUGUGCAGAAGAUUGAGGCAAUCCACAAAGUCCUGACUCCUGACCAAGAAACUUGCACAUCAUAG